AACGCUAGCUACAGGCUUAACACAUGCAAGUCGAGGGGCAGCAUUUUAGUUUGCUUGCAAACUAAAGAUGGCGACCGGCGCACGGGUGAGUAACACGUAUCCAACCUGCCGAUAACUCGGGGAUAGCCUUUCGAAAGAAAGAUUAAUAUCCGAUAGCAUAUUGAGAUCGCAUGAUUUUGAUAUUAAAGAAUUUCGGUUAUCGAUGGGGAUGCGUUCCAUUAGUUUGUUGGCGGGGUAACGGCCCACCAAGACUACGAUGGAUAGGGGUUCUGAGAGGAAGGUCCCCCACAUUGGAACUGAGACACGGUCCAAACUCCUACGGGAGACAGCAGUGAGGAAUAUUGGUCAAUGGACGAGAGUCUGAACCAGCCAAGUAGCGUGAAGGAUGACUGCCCUAUGGGUUGUAAACUUCUUUUAUAUGGGAAUAAAGUAUUCCACGUGUGGGAUUUUGUAUGUACCAUAUGAAUAAGGAUCGGCUAACUCCGUGCCAGCAGCCGCGGUAAUACGGAGGAUCCGAGCGUUAUCCGGAUUUAUUGGGUUUAAAGGGAGCGUAGGUGGAUUGUUAAGUCAGUUGUGAAAGUUUGCGGCUCAACCGUAAAAUUGCAGUUGAAACUGGCAGUCUUGAGUACAGUAGAGGUGGGCGGAAUUCGUGGUGUAGCGGUGAAAUGCUUAGAUAUCACGAAGAACUCCGAUUG
RNAcentral lists this ribosomal RNA (695 nucleotides) under uncultured bacterium. RNAcentral describes it as "bacterial SSU rRNA". It matches the Rfam family "Bacterial small subunit ribosomal RNA", at positions 32 to 715 of the family's 1533-position model. The record is from RNAcentral.